AGUCACUGACAUUAGACACCCCCGUAGUCCCAGCCGUAAACAAUGUGCGUUAGGUGUGUCGGUAACCACGUGUUACUGAUGCGCCGAAGAGAAAUCGUGAAACGCACCACCUGGGAAGUACGGUCGCAAGGCUGAAACUUAAAGGAAUUGGCGGGGGAGCACCACAACAGGUGGAGCCUGCGGUUUAAUUGGAUUCAACGCCGGACAUCUCACCGGAUAAGACAGCUGAAUGAUUGUCAAUCUGAAGGUUUUACAUGACUAGCUG
RNAcentral lists this ribosomal RNA (265 nucleotides) under uncultured archaeon. RNAcentral describes it as "partial 16S ribosomal RNA". It matches the Rfam family "Archaeal small subunit ribosomal RNA", at positions 718 to 982 of the family's 1478-position model. The record is from RNAcentral.